ACUUCCGGGGCCCGCGUCCCCCGGCGGCUUCGCCGAGAAGGGGCUUUGGGAGCUUAAGGGCGCCGGCACGCGUUCCCCUGGCGCAGAGCUCGCUAGCCGGGGCGCGGGCUGCCUCCUUGUUCUGGUGUGAUCCGAAUGUAACGGAGCGGACUUUGGGAUCCAGAACCCCGGACUGAGGAAGAUUCUCUGGGAGAGGAGGAUCUGAGAGAAAAGAAGGGCUGAAAAGUGUGGGACAUCAGAACCACUAACUCUUGCAUGAGAGAACAAGAGUGAAGAGUGUGUGCUCCAUAGUAACAGAGUUGGACAUGAAGAUUCCUCCAUCAUGGGUUUGGUUAGUGGUUUUUCCACUUGGAGAUGAUAGGUUUCAGGAGAAAAGCUUUUCUAUGGUA
This 389-nucleotide long non-coding RNA is filed under the name Homo sapiens (human). RNAcentral's name for it is "non-protein coding FLG-AS1:22". The record is from RNAcentral. Lineage: Eukaryota; Metazoa; Chordata; Mammalia; Primates; Hominidae.